RNAcentral lists this ribosomal RNA (465 nucleotides) under Vreelandella stevensii. RNAcentral describes it as "partial 16S ribosomal RNA". It matches the Rfam family "Bacterial small subunit ribosomal RNA", at positions 338 to 795 of the family's 1533-position model. The record is from RNAcentral. Lineage: Bacteria; Pseudomonadati; Pseudomonadota; Gammaproteobacteria; Oceanospirillales; Halomonadaceae.
CCUACGGGGGGCUGCAGUGGGGAAUAUUGGACAAUGGGCGAAAGUCUGAUCCAGCCAUGCCGCGUGUGUGAAGAAGGCCUUCGGGUUGUAAAGCACUUUCAGUGGGGAAGAAAGCCUUGGGGCUAAUACCCUCGAGGAAGGACAUCACCCACAGAAGAAGCACCGGCUAACUCCGUGCCAGCAGCCGCGGUAAUACGGAGGGUGCGAGCGUUAAUCGGAAUUACUGGGCGUAAAGCGCGCGUAGGCGGUCUGAUAAGCCGGUUGUGAAAGCCCCGGGCUCAACCUGGGAACGGCAUCCGGAACUGUCAGGCUAGAGUGCAGGAGAGGAAGGUAGAAUUCCCGGUGUAGCGGUGAAAUGCGUAGAGAUCGGGAGGAAUACCAGUGGCGAAGGCGGCCUUCUGGACUGACACUGACGCUGAGGUGCGAAAGCGUGGGUAGCAAACAGGAUUAGAUACCCCAGUAGUC